AUUUUUGCAUCCUUUGAUCCAUCUUCAAGGCUUCAAAUUCUACAAUUGCACGAAUUUCUCUGAGAAAAUUAUACAGAAUAACGUAUUAGAAAAUGGAAGAAUAAUCACCAACUAUAUAUUUGAAUUAAAGAAAAAAAAUGAAGGAUUGUAGAAAGGACUUUACAAGUAGUAAAAACUGGGUUUAAUUAAGACGUUCGAUGCGGUGAAAAUAAAAAAGUGCAUUUAUACAAUCAUGCAUUUAUAAGGUAAUUAGUUAAAUUUUUAUGAUAAACAUUAAUGUGAUAACAUGGUAAAAAUCGUUUUUAGUUUUAUAUAUGAAUAAUAUAAAAAAUAGAUUUAUACAAUCUAGAUAUUUAUAAAGUAAUUACUAUAUAUAAAUUUCUACGAUAAAUGUUAAUAUCUAUAAUAGAAUAAAAAUGGUAACUAUCAUGUUAUAACUAUUGAUUUUCUAUAACAGUAGCGUUAAAAUUCUUUUAACGUUCAAUACAUAUAAAUUAUUUAGUAAAACUCAUAACCAACAUGCAAUUAUUAUAUAUAUUACUUUUUUUUUUGUAGUGAUCUACUUAGCACGUAUUAAAGUUACAUUGUUAGUGUAUAUACCUUUUAGCAACUUGGCAUUGCAGUCACUGUCACACUUCAUCUCACAAUGAGUGUAUCCAAGACCUUGAUCAAUACAUGCCUUUUCACAUUCGUUGAAGCAAUUUGUAUAUUCAGCGGUAACCUUUGCAACAGAUUCUUUAAAUUUUUCUACGUUACUUUUUUCUUGUUCAUGAGCCUUUGAAACAUGCACAGAUGAUGAUAACAUAACCAUGCACACAAGAAACACUGCAACAAGCUUCUUUGAUGAUUCCAUUUUUUAGAAUUUGUUUUGAAUUAUUUUGGCGUUUCGCUUCUCGCUUUUUUGUUGUUAUUACUUUUUUUGAUGUGCUUGUUGCUUUGUGUUUCUUUUUUGCGAC
Molecule: long non-coding RNA, 956 nt
Filed under: Nicotiana tabacum (common tobacco)
Lineage: Eukaryota; Viridiplantae; Streptophyta; Magnoliopsida; Solanales; Solanaceae
Description: long non-coding RNA (NTAB_LNC007778)
Source: RNAcentral